GCGAGAGUGGCGGAACUGGCAGACGCGCUGGAUUUAGGAUCCAGUACCGCUUAAGGUGUGGGGGUUCGACUCCCCCCUCUCGCA
RNAcentral lists this transfer RNA (84 nucleotides) under Deltaproteobacteria bacterium. RNAcentral's name for it is "tRNA-Leu". It matches the Rfam family "tRNA". Rfam says of the family: Transfer RNA (tRNA) molecules are approximately 80 nucleotides in length. Lineage: Bacteria; Pseudomonadati; Myxococcota; Myxococcia. The record is from RNAcentral.